CCGCUGACUUGGUAAAGACAAUCGAACGGGUGAAGUGUCCGACGAGAAAGCCUUUGUUAGUUCAAACCCCAAUGGGAGAAAUACAGGCAGAUCAGGUUUGCUCAAAUAUCAACCUUGUCAUAAAGAAGGAAAACUUCACUGUAAACCUCAUUGUGCUAGAGUCACUCAAUAUUCCUUUGGUUCUUGGCAAUGGAUGGUUAUGUGCACACAAGGCAGUGAUCUAUGCUACCCAGUGGAAAAUUUUCUUAACCGCACCAUCAGGGAAAAGAAUUGAGUAUCAAGGUGGUCCACUCCUACCUGAGGAGGCAUACCCAUGCUAAGUUAUCAUGUCUUUGAGUUGUAUAAGUCAAAAAGUUGGUAGACAAGAUGGAUUUUAAUCAGCUAUGAAUAAUAGACAUUUUAUGGAAGUUUUGUUUACAAGUUGUGAUCCCCGAGACAUAAGUGAUUACAUUGGAAUACAAGUUGUGAAGUUGAAUUAGAUAUCAAGAUCUUGUUCUUGUUUCUCUUUUGGAAUCCGUGUCUCUUCCGAAUCUCGAGGACGAGAUUCAUUUUAAGGGGGGUAGAUUUGUAACACCCUAAAUUUUGUUCUUUUAGAAAUAGAUGAAAAAUAAUUUAAUUUUGAAUUUUUGUGCUCAUAAAACAUAGGGGAAUAAUAUUUUUCAGUAAAUUAAAACUUAUCAUAGGGUUUAGUAACAUGUAUGUGCACUCAUGCUGGAGCAUUUAUAUUUUUGUACUGUGUAACUUUGAGUAAAGUUCAAAAGUAUUUCAAAACUGAUUUUUAAAAGGGACUUGAAAUGGCUUUGGAAUAAAAGAAAGGAAAAUAGAAAAAAAAAACAACAAAACCUUUCUCCUCUUCCCCCACUCAUUCUGGCCCGAAGGCCCAAACCCUCCUCUCCCCCUUCCUUCCUUCCCCCCCCCCCCC
This 922-nucleotide long non-coding RNA is filed under the name Sorghum bicolor (sorghum). Its description in RNAcentral is "long non-coding RNA (SBIC_LNC015982)". Lineage: Eukaryota; Viridiplantae; Streptophyta; Magnoliopsida; Poales; Poaceae. The record is from RNAcentral.